Molecule: ribosomal RNA, 498 nt
Filed under: uncultured bacterium
Lineage: Bacteria
Description: partial 16S ribosomal RNA
Rfam family: Bacterial small subunit ribosomal RNA
Source: RNAcentral
ACUCAAAUGAAUAGACGGGGGCCCGCACAAGCGGAGGAGCAUGUGGUUUAAUUCGAUGAUACGCGAGGAACCUUACCCGGGCUUGAAAGUUAGCGAAUGAUCUGGAAACAGGUCAGCCCGCAAGGGCGCGAAACUAGGUGCUGCAUGGCUGUCGUCAGCUCGUGCCGUGAGGUGUUGGGUUAAGUCCCGUAACGAGCGCAACCCCUAUCAUUAGUUGCCAUCAGGUAAAGCUGGGGACUCUAAUGAGACUGCCCGCGUAAGCGGUGAGGAAGGUGGGGAUGACGUCAAGUCAGCACGGCCCUUACGUCCGGGGCUACACACGUGCUACAAUGGCCGGUACAAUGGGCAGCUACUAUGCAAAUAGAUGCUAAUCUCACAAAACCGGUCUCAGUUCGGAUUGAGGUCUGCAACUCGACCUCAUGAAGCUGGAUUCGCUAGUAAUCGUACAUCAGCAAUGGUACGGUGAAUACGUUCCCGGGCCUUGUACACACCGCCCGU